GAGCACGUAGGUGGGUUUGUAAGUCAGAUGUGAAAGCCUUCUGUUCAACGGAAGAAUUGCAUCUGAAACUGCGAGUCUUGAGCGUAGGAGGGGAGAAUGGAACUUCUGGUGGAGCGGUGAAAUGCGUAGAUAUCAGAAGGAACGCCGGCGGCGAAAGCGAUUCUCUGGCCUAUUACUGACACUCAGUGUGCGAAAGCUAGGGGAGCAAACGGGAUUAGAUACCCCGGUAGUCCUAGCUGUAAACGAUGGGCACUAAGUAGAGGGAAUUACCGAUGUUCUCUCUGCCGUAGCUAACGCAUUAAGUGCCCCGCCUGGGGAGUACGGCCGCAAGGCUAAAACUCAAAAGAAUUGACGGGGGCUCGCACAAGCGGUGGAGCAUGUGGCUUAAUUCGAUGCAACGCGAAAAACCUUACCGGGGCUUGACAUGGUAGAAGUAGGAACCCGAAAGGGUAACGAACGGUAUCCAGUCCGUAGCUAUUACAGGUGUUGCAUGGCUGUCGUCAGCUCGUGUCGUGAGACGUUGGGUUAAGUCCCCUAACGAGCAAAACCCCUGUUUUUAGUUGCCAGCGGGUUAUGCCGGGCACUCUAGAAAGACUGCCGUCGUCAAGACGGAGGAAGGUGGGGAUGACGUCAAGUCAUCAUGGCCCUUAUGCCCCGGGCUGCACACGUGCUACAAUGGUCGGUACAAACGGAAGCGAAGCCGAGAGGUGAAGCGAAUCC
This 720-nucleotide ribosomal RNA is filed under the name uncultured Candidatus Scalindua sp. RNAcentral describes it as "bacterial SSU rRNA". It matches the Rfam family "Bacterial small subunit ribosomal RNA", at positions 565 to 1274 of the family's 1533-position model. Lineage: Bacteria; Pseudomonadati; Planctomycetota; Candidatus Brocadiia; Candidatus Brocadiales; Candidatus Scalinduaceae. The record is from RNAcentral.